Myxocyprinus asiaticus (Chinese sucker) is the source of this 317-nucleotide long non-coding RNA. RefSeq lists it as uncharacterized. Lineage: Eukaryota; Metazoa; Chordata; Actinopteri; Cypriniformes; Catostomidae. The record is from RefSeq and is a predicted model, not a curated record. The transcript is spliced from 3 exons.
GUAAUGUUGUUUGGAAGUCAAGACUCUGGAUUUCACGUUGGUGUAAAUAAACACUGCACUUGGGUUCUACACUUCAUCAUCGUCUGCCUGUCAUUGCCAGCGUUGUUACACAUUUACAUUUUACCUAAGGACAAACCAUCUGGGACAGAUUGGUUCACUCUGAUUGUAACACAACAGUUGGAUGGGAUAAGACUCUUGAAGUACAUUGGCAAAACCAACAGACAACUCUGCACCCGCAUUAAUGAACAUCGUAGUUCCAUCUACAGAGGUGACCCAAAAUCUCCGGUUGCCAGACAUUUUAAGGAAGCCAGACACCC